UUUCACAUUAUCUCCUUUUCUUCAUCCCUAAGUGCUUCACCUUUGGCAACUUGCAACAACAACUCCAGCGACCAGCAGCAUCGCAAGCAAAACAAGUUGCUACCGUCUCCAACCUAUUUUAUUUUACAAGAAGGGUGGCUUCCAACGAAAACCAAACCGUUGCCUCUGGUCGUUUUUAUAUUCUCUCACUUCACCAAAAUUAAAGUGUUUCUAAUUUCGGCUCUGGUGCCUCAUGCUCGCUUUUUUAAACCUAGGCAAUGGUGCAGGACCCUACGCUCGCAUCGAUGUUGACCUCCUUGAUUGAAGUCUUGUAGAACAUAUAUAGAUAUCCAAAAUAAGCCCUUUUACUUAGCCGUGCGUCGGUAUUCUUGUCCUUGAGGUAUGAAAGUUACGUCAAAUUUGUUAUUAAUGUGUCAAGAGUUAAAGACAUCUUGUGACGUGGCUCUUGUGAAAGAUGUGGAAGUUGGUCAAAAAGAAAAAGAAAAGGGACAUAGGUGUUGUUGAAAAUAAGAGACAUAGGAGGCUCCUUAGUGUUCUCCAAGCAGAAUGUGGAUUAAUUAUAUUAGAAAACGGUUUUUCUAAUAAUAGCCAUUUACAAACCCUUGAAAUAUCAUCUACAUGGUGGACACAUAGAUUUUCAUCCAGGGCCACUUUCAGCAAGCAAUCGAAACAAUCUAACAAAAACUUUUAACGUUAGACCCGGGAACGAUGCAACAUGUAAAACUCCGAAAUCCACUCCAGGACACCCUGCCAUUGGAAUCACCUUUUCUUAUGGUAUCCAUGGUUAACUCCGCUGUCACCCUUCUUAAGUGGUAUAACAAAUUUGUUGGUAUACUAGUAGUCUCGUUUGGGUUGGAAUGUGAUUGUAACUACUCAAAGCCAACUAGUCUUCGGAGGCUAAUAUACAGGUACAAGAAUAUAACUCGUUUACUAGUAAUAAGCAACUUCAACGACACAGUGGGGUUUAAUCCAAAGGUGGUUAAUGGAUAUUAUGAGCGUAUGGGAAUUAAUGACAUUGAACGUACAAAUCUACAAAACCGUUUGUCAAUAACAUUGAGUGGGUUCAUCCUACUAGAAUGGAGACUGUUUUGGUGAGUCACCAAGACGACUUGGUUAGACCAUUACUUUGGGAAAAACUGAAGGUUUGAUGGGAAAUGAUUAUGCUGUUGUUGAUGAUGUGGAGGUAGAUGGACUCAUAAAAAAUUUGUGUAGAAGAUUGCGUUUUCUUAUAGCUCAUAACAUCUUCCAAGCCGACAGUCCUUUGGCGGCAACAUACAACAAUGGCUUUUCUAUUACUGGUAAUUUGAAAGAGUUGGGAAACACGACUUAGGUCGUGUUUUCCAUCAACCCUAAAGCUUUGGAACCGGACCAUCUAUUGGUAAUAGUAUCAGGAAUUAAGGUGGUGAGCCCAUAUUUAGGAGGUAAGUUAACUGCCCCGAGUGUUAAAAUGAACACUCUCUACCUUGGGGUCGGUGCAGGCAUUCUUGAGAAGUAUCUGAGCAAUGAGUUGGACUUCCACGUGACGGGUGUGGAGAUAGUUGAAAAUAUUUUUCAAUUUCUUGAUCAACAUUUCACGUGCUCUGCAAGUCACCAAUGAACAUGGGCUAAUGUGAAUAUGUUUAGAGGAUGUGAUACCAUGAAAAAGUUUGAAAAGUUUGCAUUGAAUAAAGACAAGAACCGUUUUCACAUAAUCACCUUGGAUAUCACGGGUUAUGACGAACUACCCGGUGUAGGAGCUUGUACUCCACCGUGUAAGUUUCUUAACCAAGAAUUCUUUGGAAACCUAAAGAAUAUCUUGCACGAUAAGGGGGGCCCUCAUUAUCCACGUCAUGAUCCCCGAUUUCAAGUUUCACCUCAUGUUAUUGACAUUGUUGAAAAAGAGUUGUCGUUUCACAAAGCUUCUUCGAGUAAGCCUCGGGAAGGAAUCAGAGUUUCUGCUAGUGGAUAACAUGGAUGGUGAGGUUCCAUCCUCCUCCUCCUCCCCCUCCUCCUCUGUUGAUGCAAAUGUUAUCUUAAUGAAGAUCAAGUUGAUGCUACCGGAAGGCUUUAACAUUGAACUAAAGCUCAAGGGACACACUUAUCUCAAAGAAGAUACAAAAUUUGUAAAUAGCUCCUCAUCUCAAUUCUCAUGUCUCUGUUUUCUUUCUUGCCUUUUUUGACAAGUUUUGAAUAACCUUUUGGAGGCGUUCAUGAAUCUCACACCCAUUUAUUAAAGAGCUUAUAUUUAGGG
Helianthus annuus (common sunflower) is the source of this 2230-nucleotide long non-coding RNA. RefSeq lists it as uncharacterized. The transcript has 3 exons. Lineage: Eukaryota; Viridiplantae; Streptophyta; Magnoliopsida; Asterales; Asteraceae. The record is from RefSeq and is a predicted model, not a curated record.